Non-coding RNA from Lolium perenne, 4368 nucleotides. Lineage: Eukaryota; Viridiplantae; Streptophyta; Magnoliopsida; Poales; Poaceae. The record is from RefSeq and is a predicted model, not a curated record.
AGAAAGAGAAACUCUCCCCCGAUCGCCCCACGCCAGAAAAUCAUGUAAAGGCUCAACCCACGAUUAGCGCACGGUUGGUCACCCCGCCACCCCCACCAUCUCACAUCCAACAACUGAUUCCCCCUAACAGCGCGCUUCGCCAUGCGAGGCCGUCGGAUCUCGUCCAAGGCGGAGGUGGCCCAAGGUCGCGCAUCCCAUGCGGAGGCCGGAUUUGGCUUCUCCACAGCAUCCACAACAGGGAGCCACCCAAACAUGGAUGUUGUACAAGCCUCCGCUCCCAGGGGCAUGGAGGAACACCACCCUGACACGAUCUCAUCCACGCUGGUGAGUUGGAUGAGGGCAUCUCCUCUGGGUGAAGAGCAGGUUGGCCUCGACCUGGAAGUGGAAGGCCACGGCGUCGGCGAGUGCGGCGUUCUCGUCCCGGGAGAGUCGAGGAUGGCGGCCCACGAGCAGUAUCGUGGUGCCCAGGAGGAGCGUGGCGGCGGCCGACGGUGGAGGACCGGUUACACGACCAAGCAGGGUCUCUACCCGCACCCGGACAUCGGCAUCCAGAAGAUGUGCUGCGUUGAGGCCAAUCUCGGCCUGCCAACCCGGCCUCCGACAGCCCUUGCUAUACCAGUCAGAGCGGGCCACUUUCUGUUGACUCAGAUGGCUGACAUUAACUCCACAAUCAGAAUACACAAAUCGGUGCAUCUAAAUUGAAUUUCUCCUCGCCGUGAAAGGACAUUAUAAGAUGCAAAGCUUCGUUGACCAUGCUGGUUCUGAGAGGGUGAAAAAGUCUGGCUCGGCAGGAGAAUAAUUGAAACAAACACAAAGCAUCAAUAACUCUGUUCCUGAACUUCAUGGUGUUAAUGGUGAUUUAUCUUCUGAACCUUACCAGAACCAUAAGUUACAAUGCUUAUGAGUGAUUCGCUUGGAGGUAAUGCACAAACUUUAAUGUUUGUGAAUGUCUCACGAGCAGAGUCAAACUUGGAGGAGACAUACAACUCACUCGUGUAUGGAAUUUCAUUGCUUUUAUUCACUCUUUGCAUUUGUCUACAUAACCAUAUCUCUCUACUCCACCCUGAUUUUUUUUUCUCGAAAAAGUUUUGAAUGAUUUUUGUUUGUACCAUCUCUACUAUAUUAAAUGGCUAGAGGUGGUAGGAUGGUUCGUACAUCCGUCCCACCCCGGCCAUUGCUGCAUGUUUUUUCAUCGGUGCAACGUUAGACCAUCCGGGAGAACCAGCGGCAAGGAACUGCCUCUUUGUUUCUCACCGAGAAAAGAUGCGCCAACACAUGCUCCUGUUGUUAUUUGCUUGCAUCUAUCCAGGCUGCAGUUGGCGGUGUAAAGGUUGCUUCUGGUCGUUUGGUUGAAUGCAAAUUUGUUACUCCAAACAGGUAAAUUGUUGGCAGGUAUCCUGCUUACUCGAGCACACACAAAAGCAGGGGAGAUGCGUACAUGCUUUAUAGUUUAGCUAUUGUCGGCAGGUACUGAUGAACUUAAUUUUCAUGAUAUUCUUUUUAUCCGCGAGUGCUUGAGGGGAGCAAGCUGAGCAACGCCAAUGUCACCAGCUCUCAACCGCAAACAACUGACGCUCACGGAUCGUCGACUGACCACUCUGUGGAAUCCAUGCUGCACAGCGCAAGUACCCUCAGCGCUAGCAUACUCCUCAUACCUACGCUUUCCUUCCCAUCAUAUCUGAGUCGCUUUUAAGAUGACCUUGGAGAUGAGGCUAUGACAACAGACAUUGAGGCGGACGACAUGGUCGAUCAUCAAAUUCAGAUGUACGAGGGUGGGAGUGGCUUACUAUUUUGAUGACCUUGGAGAUGAGGCUAUGACAACAGACAUUGAGGCGGACGACAUCUCUACUAUAUUAAAUGGCUAGAGGUGGUGAGAUGGUUGGUACGUCCGUCCCUACUCAAGACAAAAUUGGGAAAAAGAAAGAGAAACUCUCCCCCGAUCGCCCCACGCCAGAAAAUCAUGUAAAGGCUCAACCCACGAUUAGCGCACGGUUGGUCACCCCGCCACCCCCACCAUCUCACAUCCAACAACUGAUUCCCCCUAACAGCACGCUUCGCCAUGCGAGGCCGUCGGAUCUCGUCCAAGGCGGAGGUGGCCCAAGGUCGCGCAUCCCAUGAGGAGGCCGGAUUUGGCUUCUCCACAGCAUCCACAACAGGGAGCCACCCAAACAUGGAUGUUGUACAAGCCUCCGCUCCCAGGGGCAUGGAGGAACACCACCCUGACACGAUCUCAUCCACGCUGGUGAGUUGGAUGAGGGCAUCUCCUCUGGGUGAAGAGCAGGUUGGCCUCGACCUGGAAGUGGAAGGCCACGGCGUCGACGAGUGCGGCGUUCUCGUCCCGGGAGAGUCGAGGAUGGCGGCCCACGAGCAGUAUCGUGGUGCCCAGGAGGAGCGUGGCGGCGGCCGACGGUGGAGGACCGGUUACACGACCAAGCAGGGUCUCUACACGCACCCGGACAUCGGCAUCCAGAAGAUGUGCUGCGUUGAGGCCAAUCUCGGCCUGCCAACCCGGCCUCCGACAGCCCUUGCUAUACCAGUCAGAGCGGGCCACUUUCUGUUGACUCAGAUGGCUGACAUUAACUCCACAAUCAGAAUACACAAAUCGGUGCAUCUAAAUUGAAUUUCUCCUCGCCGUGAAAGGACAUUAUAAGAUGCAAAGCUUCGUUGACCAUGCUGGUUCUGAGAGGGUGAAAAAGUCUGGCUCGGCAGGAGAAUAAUUGAAACAAACACAAAGCAUCAAUAACUCUGUUCCUGAACUUCAUGGUGUUAAUGGUGAUUUAUCUUCUGAACCUUACCAGAACCAUAAGUUACAAUGCUUAUGAGUGAUUCGCUUGGAGGUAAUGCACAAACUUUAAUGUUUGUGAAUGUCUCACGAGCAGAGUCAAACUUGGAGGAGACAUACAACUCACUCGUGUAUGGAAUUUCAUUGCUUUUAUUCACUCUUUGCAUUUGUCUACAUAACCAUAUCUCUCUACUCCACCCUGAUUUUUUUUUCUCGAAAAAGUUUUGAAUGAUUUUUGUUUGUACCAUCUCUACUAUAUUAAAUGGCUAGAGGUGGUAGGAUGGUUCGUACAUCCGUCCCACCCCGGCCAUUGCUGCAUGUUUUUUCAUCGGUGCAACGUUAGACCAUCCGGGAGAACCAGCGGCAAGGAACUGCCUCUUUGUUUCUCACCGAGAAAAGAUGCGCCAACACAUGCUCCUGUUGUUAUUUGCUUGCAUCUAUCCAGGCUGCAGUUGGCGGUGUAAAGGUUGCUUCUGGUCGUUUGGUUGAAUGCAAAUUUGUUACUCCAAACAGGUACUUAUGAACUUAAUUUUCAUGAUAUUCUUUUUAUCCGCGAGUGCUUGAGGGGAGCAAGCUGAGCAACGCCAAUGUCACCAGCUCUCAACCGCAAACAACUGACGCUCACGGAUCGUCGACUGACCACUCUGUGGAAUCCAUGCUGCACAGCGCAAGUACCCUCAGCGCUAGCAUACUCCUCAUACCUACGCUUUCCUUCCCAUCAUAUCUGAGUCGCUUUUAAGAUGACCUUGGAGAUGAGGCUAUGACAACAGACAUUGAGGCGGACGACAUGGUCGAUCAUCAAGUUCAGAUGUACGAGGGUGGGAGUGGCUUACUAUUUUGAUGACCUUGGAGAUGAGGCUAUGACAACAGACAUUGAGGCGGACGACAUGGUCGAUCAUCAAGUUCAGAUGUACGAGGAUGACCUUGGAGAUGAGGCUAUGACAACAGACAUUGAGGCGGACGACAUGGUCGAUCAUCAAGUUCAGCUGUGCGAGGGAAACUGACGGUCCUCAUCUCAGCCUUAGAUUUCUUCAGGUCUUCCUCUCAUUAUACCGUGAAUGAUUACAUGUCCAAUGACUUGCAUUGUAGAUGACCUUGGAGAUGAGGCUAUGACAACAGACAUUGAGGCGGACGGCAUGGUCGAUCAUCAAGUUCAGAUAUGACCUUGGAGAUGAGGCUAUGACAAUAGACAUUGAGGCGGACGACAUGGUCGACCACAAUGGCAACGAGUUGAUCAGCUUGAGCCCUUAAGGAGCUUGACCAUGGAUGGCUUGAGCCACCUACAUGGUUAUCAUGUUUUGAGAAGCCAUGAAACAAGCAACGGCUGCACAAAAUGUUUAAGCUCAUCAUGCUAGAGGAUGUUGGUCAUGGAACUCUUCGGUGCUACAACGGCAACUCUCAGCUCGCUUUUGUCGUCAUGUCACACCUAAAAAACAAUGUUGGCAAGAACGAACAAAGAUGUGGAAACACAAUAUGUGUAGAGUCUACACUGCAUGAUACAUAAUGAAUCUCCUACUACUACUUUGGUAUGAAUAAUAAUGGUUAACAUGUAACCACUGCGUUGACGUAAGUGCUAAAUUUUCUCA